Molecule: ribosomal RNA, 477 nt
Filed under: uncultured bacterium
Lineage: Bacteria
Description: SSU rRNA
Rfam family: Bacterial small subunit ribosomal RNA
Source: RNAcentral
AGGACGAACGCUGGCGGCGUGCUUAACACAUGCAAGUCGAACGAGGCCCUACCUUCGGGUAGGUGACCUAGUGGCGAACGGGUGAGUAACACGUGGGCAACCUACCCUCAGCUCUGGGAUAACCCCGGGAAACCGGAGCUAAUACCGGAUAUGACCUUGAACGACACCGUUCUUGGUGGAAAGUUUUUCGGCUGAGGAUGGGCCCGCGGCCUAUCAGCUUGUUGGCGGGGUAAUGGCCCACCAAGGCGACGACGGGUAGCCGGCCUGAGAGGGCGAUCGGCCACACUGGGACUGAGACACGGCCCAGACUCCUACGGGAGGCAGCAGUGGGGAAUAUUGCGCAAUGGGCGAAAGCCUGACGCAGCGACGCCGCGUGAGGGAUGAAGGCCUUCGGGUUGUAAACCUCUUUCAGCAGGACGAAGCGAAAGUGACGGUACCUGCAGAAGAAGCACCGGCCAACUACGCGCCAGCAGCCGC